ACAAGUGUUCCGAAGUCAACGAGACGCACAGGUAUCCCGGACUAAAUCAAACAACAUUACUUGGAUCAAAGUGCAGUGUCCGAUACAGCGAAACAGUUCAGAUUGCGGAUACUAUGUUUUGAGGUUUAUGAAAGAAAUCCUUCAAACGAAUCAAUUAGAGAUUCCAAUCACGUACUUUGACGACUUCUAUGCUGCUUCUUACACGAGACUUAAGUUGGAAGAAAUCAAAGAGGAUUUGUGUCAAUUUUAUAUUCAUCAGCUAUUCAAGUAGGAUUUGUGUCGAUUUGAAGUAUAAUAUUAU
Long non-coding RNA from Vicia villosa (hairy vetch), 301 nucleotides. RefSeq lists it as uncharacterized. Lineage: Eukaryota; Viridiplantae; Streptophyta; Magnoliopsida; Fabales; Fabaceae. The record is from RefSeq and is a predicted model, not a curated record. The transcript has 3 exons.